This 509-nucleotide ribosomal RNA is filed under the name uncultured bacterium. RNAcentral's name for it is "bacterial SSU rRNA". It matches the Rfam family "Bacterial small subunit ribosomal RNA", at positions 36 to 518 of the family's 1533-position model. The record is from RNAcentral.
CUGGCGGCGUGCCUAAUACAUGCAAGUCGAACGGUCUUUCUAUGGAAGCUUGCUUCCACUGAGAAGAUAGUGGCGAACGGGUGAGUAACACGUGGGUAACCUGCCCAUAAGAGGGGGAUAACAUCCGGAAACGGGUGCUAAUACCGCAUAGUUUUCUUGAUCGCAUGAUCGGGAAAGGAAAGACGGCCUUUGUGCUGUCGCUUAUGGAUGGACCCGCGGCGUAUUAGUUAGUUGGUGAGGUAACGGCUCACCAAGACGAUGAUACGUAGCCGACCUGAGAGGGUGAUCGGCCACAUUGGGACUGAGACACGGCCCAAACUCCUACGGGAGGCAGCAGUAGGGAAUCUUCCGCAAUGGACGAAAGUCUGACGGAGCAACGCCGCGUGAGUGAAGAAAGGUUUUCGGAUCGUAAAACUCUGUUGUCAGAGAAGAACAAGUUGGAGAGUAACUGCUCCAGCCUUGACGGUAUCUGACCAGAAAGCCACGGCUAACUACGUGCCAGCCGCAGC